UGAUCAGGUGGGAUUAUCCUUACCUAUUCCUCUUUUCAGGAGACAAGACAACAUGAUUGAAGUUUGCAUCAAUUGUGAUUAACAUUUUGGAUAGUCAGGACAUGCAACACCCUGCUUGCUCCUAUCUGAU
Molecule: small nucleolar RNA, 130 nt
Filed under: Neotoma lepida (desert woodrat)
Lineage: Eukaryota; Metazoa; Chordata; Mammalia; Rodentia; Cricetidae
Description: U8 small nucleolar RNA
Rfam family: U8 small nucleolar RNA
About the family: U8 is a member of the C/D class of snoRNA which contain the C (UGAUGA) and D (CUGA) box motifs.
Source: Rfam by way of RNAcentral